GAUAAACGCUAGCGGCAGGCUUAACACAUGCAAGUCGAGGGGCAGCAUAGAUUGUAGCAAUACAAUUGGUGGCGACCGGCGCACGGGUGCGUAACGCGUAUGCAACCUACCCGUCACAGGGGGAUAAUCCGGAGAAAUCUGGUCUAAUACCCCAUAACAUAUGGAUCGGCAUCGGUUCAUGUUGAAAUUUUCGGAGGUGACGGAUGGGCAUGCGUAGCAUUAGCUUGUUGGUGAGGUAGCGGCUCACCAAGGCGACGAUGCUUAGGGGGACUGAGAGGUUUUCCCCCCACACUGGUACUGAGACACGGACCAGACUCCUACGGGAGGCAGCAGUGAGGAAUAUUGGUCAAUGGGGCAACCCUGAACCAGCCAUGCCGCGUGCAGGAAGACGGCUCUAUGAGUUGUAAACUGCUUUUGUACAGGGAUAAAUCGGGGAACGUGUUCCCCGUUGAAGGUACUGUACGAAUAAGGAUCGGCUAACUCCGUGCCAGCCGCCGCGGUAA
This 503-nucleotide ribosomal RNA is filed under the name uncultured bacterium. Its description in RNAcentral is "partial 16S ribosomal RNA". It matches the Rfam family "Bacterial small subunit ribosomal RNA", at positions 28 to 523 of the family's 1533-position model. The record is from RNAcentral.